ACUGAUGAGGGUGAUUACAACAUCAAAUUGCGUAAUUUGAUUAGCUUUCUGGACGAGGGUGACAAGGUAAAGGUUACCCUGCGAUUUAGAGGGCGUGAGAUGGCACACCAAGAGUUUGGUGUGCGUCUUUUGGAGCGAGUAAGAGAUGACCUUGAAUUACAUGCAAUAGUAGAGCAAUUUCCCAGGCUAGAGGGUAGGCAAAUGGUGAUGGUAUUGUCACCUAAAAAGAAAGAAGUAAAAAAAAGUAAAUCGAAAGAAUUAAAGCAAGAGGAUAAGAUUUCUACAGCUAUAAUAACUUCGUGAGUAUGCUAAUCACUCUUAUUACGUGA
This 329-nucleotide unclassified non-coding RNA is filed under the name Nitrosomonas sp. Nm132. Its description in RNAcentral is "Long range pseudoknot". The record is from RNAcentral. Lineage: Bacteria; Pseudomonadati; Pseudomonadota; Betaproteobacteria; Nitrosomonadales; Nitrosomonadaceae.